RNAcentral lists this ribosomal RNA (440 nucleotides) under uncultured bacterium. RNAcentral's name for it is "partial 16S ribosomal RNA". It matches the Rfam family "Bacterial small subunit ribosomal RNA", at positions 338 to 795 of the family's 1533-position model. The record is from RNAcentral.
CCUACGGGUGGCAGCAGUGGGGAAUAUUGGACAAUGGGGGGAACCCUGAUCCAGCGACGCCGCGUGAGUGAAGAAGUAUUUCGGUAUGUAAAGCUCUAUCAGCAGGGAAGAAAAUGACGGUACCUGACUAAGAAGCCCCGGCUAACUACGUGCCAGCAGCCGCGGUAAUACGUAGGGGGCAAGCGUUAUCCGGAUUUACUGGGUGUAAAGGGAGCGUAGACGGUGCAGCAAGUCUGAUGUGAAAGGACGGGGCCCAACCCCGGGACUGCUUUGGAAACUGUUGAACUGGAGUGCAGGAGAGGUAAGCGGAAUUCCUAGUGUAGCGGUGAAAUGCGUAGAUAUUAGGAGGAACACCAGUGGCGAAGGCGGCUUACUGGACUGUAACUGACGUUGAGGCUCGAAAGCGUGGGGAGCAAACAGGAUUAGAUACCCCAGUAGUC